AAAGCAGGUUGCAAUUACAGUUCUUCUUUCUAUGGAAUUGCUGUCAUUAUCCUGCUGAGAGUAAAGAUGUCAGACUGUUUGGUUUCACCUUAACAUAGGAGAAAUUAUUGUUUCCUGACAUCAACAGCC
This 129-nucleotide small nucleolar RNA is filed under the name Xenopus laevis (African clawed frog). RNAcentral describes it as "Small nucleolar RNA SNORA69". It matches the Rfam family "Small nucleolar RNA SNORA69". From Rfam's summary of the family: U69 is a member of the H/ACA class of small nucleolar RNAs (snoRNAs) which act as guides in the the modification of uridines to pseudouridines. The record is from Rfam by way of RNAcentral. Lineage: Eukaryota; Metazoa; Chordata; Amphibia; Anura; Pipidae.